This 322-nucleotide long non-coding RNA is filed under the name Elaeis guineensis (African oil palm). RNAcentral's name for it is "long non-coding RNA (EGUI_LNC032823)". Lineage: Eukaryota; Viridiplantae; Streptophyta; Magnoliopsida; Arecales; Arecaceae. The record is from RNAcentral.
AUUCCAGAUAAAUUUUUCUUCUUUUUUAUUUCUUUCUCUCAUUUCACCCCUAUUCUACCUUUUCUUAUAUAUCUUCUUCCUUUUUUCUUCAUCCCCUCCACCAAACUUUAUUUCUAACCCUAAUGCAUCUAGCCACUCCUUUCUUAGUUUUUAUCCUUUUUUUUCGGCCUUUUUCCCACUUCCUCGACCAUAGGUCUCUUUGCAACUCUCUCCUAAGCCUAACAUUGAUCAAACCCCAUUAGUAACCUAAAUCGAACCCCAACCUAACCCUUAACCCUAACACUAGUUCUAAAAUAACCAUAGCACCACCCUAACCUUAAUC